RNAcentral lists this ribosomal RNA (440 nucleotides) under uncultured bacterium. Its description in RNAcentral is "partial 16S ribosomal RNA". It matches the Rfam family "Bacterial small subunit ribosomal RNA", at positions 338 to 795 of the family's 1533-position model. The record is from RNAcentral.
CCUACGGGGGGCAGCAGUGGGGAAUAUUGCACAAUGGGGGAAACCCUGAUGCAGCGACGCCGCGUGAGUGAAGAAGUAUUUCGGUAUGUAAAGUCCUAUCAGCAGGGAAGAAAAUGACGGUAUCUGACUAAGAAGCCCCGGCUAACUACGUGCCAGCAGCCGCGGUAAUACGUAGGGGGCAAGCGUUACCCGGAUUUACUGGGCGUAAAGGGAGCGUAGGCGGCCAUACAAGUCAGAAGUGAAAGCCCAGGGCUCAACCCCGGGACUGCUUUUGAAACUGUGAGGCUGGAGUGCAGGAGAGGUAGGCGGAAUUCCUGGUGUAGCGGUGAAAUGCGUAGAUAUUAAGAGGAACACCAGUGGCGAAGGCGACUUACUGGACUAUAACUGACGUUGAGGCUCGAAAGCGUGGGGAGCAAACAGGAUUAGAUACCCUUGUAGUC